ACGCUCGACACCUACGGAGGCAGCAGUGGGGAAUAUUGCACAAUGGGGGAAACCCUGAUGCAGCGACGCCGCGUGAAGGAAGAAGUAUCUCGGUAUGUAAACUUCUAUCAGCAGGGAAGAAAAUGACGGUACCUGACUAAGAAGCCCCGGCUAACUACGUGACAGCAGCCGCGGUAAUCUGAGCGGGCUGGCAAGGC
RNAcentral lists this ribosomal RNA (197 nucleotides) under uncultured bacterium. RNAcentral describes it as "partial 16S ribosomal RNA". It matches the Rfam family "Bacterial small subunit ribosomal RNA", at positions 328 to 539 of the family's 1533-position model. The record is from RNAcentral.